RNAcentral lists this ribosomal RNA (418 nucleotides) under uncultured bacterium. Its description in RNAcentral is "bacterial SSU rRNA". It matches the Rfam family "Bacterial small subunit ribosomal RNA", at positions 11 to 414 of the family's 1533-position model. The record is from RNAcentral.
GUUUGAUCCUGGCUCAGAGCGAACGUUAGCGGCAGGCUUAACACAUGCAAGUCGAGCGAGAAAGGGGCUUCGGCUCCGAGUAAAGCGGCGGACGGGUGCGUAACACGUGGAUAAUCUGCCUCGUGGCGGGGGACAACAGUCCGAAAGGACUGCUAAUACCGCAUGUCAGGUCGGAAACUCCGGUUUCUGACGAAAAAGAGGGCGUCCGCAAGGAGCUCUCACCACGAGAUGAGUCCGCGUCCCAUCAGCUAGUUGGCGGUGUAAUGGACCACCAAGGCCUAGACGGGUAGCUGGUCUGAGAGGAUGACCAGCCACACUGGGACUGAGACACGGCCCAGACUCCUACGGGAGGCAGCAGUGGGGAAUAUUGGACAAUGGGCGAAAGCCUGAUCCAGCCAUGCCGCGUGAGUGAUGAAGG